RNAcentral lists this transfer RNA (91 nucleotides) under Sutterella wadsworthensis. RNAcentral describes it as "tRNA-Leu". It matches the Rfam family "tRNA". Rfam says of the family: Transfer RNA (tRNA) molecules are approximately 80 nucleotides in length. Their secondary structure includes four short double-helical elements and three loops (D, anti-codon, and T loops). Further hydrogen bonds mediate the characteristic L-shaped molecular structure. tRNAs have two regions of fundamental functional importance: the anti-codon, which is responsible for specific mRNA codon recognition, and the 3' end, to which the tRNAs corresponding amino acid is attached (by aminoacyl-tRNA synthetases). tRNAs cope with the degeneracy of the genetic code in two manners: having more than one tRNA (with a specific anti-codon) for a particular amino acid; and 'wobble' base-pairing, i.e. permitting non-standard base-pairing at the 3rd anti-codon position. The record is from RNAcentral. RNAcentral also lists the same sequence under 1 other name. Lineage: Bacteria; Pseudomonadati; Pseudomonadota; Betaproteobacteria; Burkholderiales; Sutterellaceae.
GCCGGGGUGACGGAACUGGUAGACGUAGCGGACUUAAAAUCCGCCGCCAUUUAAACACGGCGUACGGGUUCGAUUCCCGUCCCCGGCACCA